GAGUUUGAUCCUGGCUCAGAUUGAACGCUGGCGGAAUGCUUUACACAUGCAAGUCGAGCGGCAGCGCGGGGCAACCUGGCGGCGAGCGGCGAACGGGUGAGUAAUGCAUCGGAACGUGUCCAGUAGCGGGGGAUAACCUCUCGAAAGAGAGGCUAAUACCGCAUACGACCGAGAGGUGAAAGCGGCGGACCGCAAGGCGUCGCGCGAUUGGAUGAGCCCAUGUCGGAUUAGCUAGUUGGCGGGGUAAAGGCCCACCAAGGCGACGAUCCGUAGCUGGUCUGAGAGGAUGAUCAGCCACACUGGAACUGAGACACGGUCCAGACUCCUACGGGAGGCAGCAGUGGGGAAUAUUGGACAAUGGGCGCAAGCCUGAUCCAGCCAUGCCGCGUGAGUGAAGAAGGCC
This 403-nucleotide ribosomal RNA is filed under the name uncultured beta proteobacterium. Its description in RNAcentral is "bacterial SSU rRNA". It matches the Rfam family "Bacterial small subunit ribosomal RNA", at positions 9 to 416 of the family's 1533-position model. The record is from RNAcentral. Lineage: Bacteria; Pseudomonadati; Pseudomonadota; Betaproteobacteria.